GACGUAGGGCGCGAGCGUUGUCCGGAUUUAUUGGGCGUAAAGAGCUCGUAGGCGGCUUGUCGCGUCGAACUGUGAAAUCCCGCGGCUCAACUGCGGGUCUGCAGUCGAUACGGGCAGGCUAGAGUUCGGUAGGGGAGACUGGAAUUCCUGGUGUAGCGGUGGAAAUGCGCAGAUAUCAGGAGGAACACCGAUGGCGAAGGCAGGUCUCUGGGCCGAUACUGACGUGAGGAGCGAAAGCGUGGGUAGCAAACAGG
This 254-nucleotide ribosomal RNA is filed under the name uncultured bacterium. RNAcentral's name for it is "partial 16S ribosomal RNA". It matches the Rfam family "Bacterial small subunit ribosomal RNA", at positions 524 to 776 of the family's 1533-position model. The record is from RNAcentral.